RNAcentral lists this long non-coding RNA (266 nucleotides) under Elaeis guineensis (African oil palm). RNAcentral's name for it is "long non-coding RNA (EGUI_LNC053790)". Lineage: Eukaryota; Viridiplantae; Streptophyta; Magnoliopsida; Arecales; Arecaceae. The record is from RNAcentral.
GCGGAUCGAUUUUCUUCUUUGUGGGAGCUUCAUUUUCGGAGCCAUUUGCACUGACGAGACUAGCACGGAGCUUGGGAGAGCAAAUGUGAGGGUGAGAUGAAGAGUUUCUAGUGGAAGGAUAGGGAUUUUUGGAGUGAUACCCCGAUUUGGAAGAGACGGGUAGAAUCUAGGGCACGCUCAAACCGCUCCAGAUGAAGAGGGAGAAGGGGAGGAACUUGGUUCCUAAGGGUUGAUUUGAGGUGUAAGAGGUGGUGGGAGAAGAGUCU